Long non-coding RNA from Neofelis nebulosa (Clouded leopard), 2569 nucleotides. RefSeq lists it as uncharacterized. The transcript is spliced from 2 exons. The record is from RefSeq and is a predicted model, not a curated record. NCBI's taxonomy places the organism in Eukaryota, Metazoa, Chordata, Mammalia, Carnivora, Felidae.
GGGGGGGGGGGCGGGGGGCGGGGGAGAGCUUCAAGCAGAGCCGCCGGCCACGUCGGCUUUGGCGUCUGUAACGUUGGGCGCUAGCGACCACCUUCCUGGGACUUGGACCGUUCUACUGGCUGGUUUCUUCGGCCGCGACGCCUCCCUUCCCUGCAUGCUGCUGCUCAGAUCCCAUGGCAGUCUUUGGGGUUUCCACAUGCCCCUUAGGAGUUCCUCGCGGUUCUAGGUCUGUUCCGCCCUCUGGGUGAUCUCCUUCAAUACUGUGGCUGCUGAGAUCUCCGCACAGGUGAUUCUUGGAGGAAUCCACAUAGCCCCGCCAUCCUUCUGUGUCCAGCUGCUUUGUGGAUUUGGCAAAGGUACUUUGACAGGUCCACAACCGAACGUGUCAACUUCUACUCAGACUGGCGUGGCCUGAAUUACCUUCCGAGUGAAACCGAAGCCCGCUCAGACACUUCUCUUUCACCCUCACAUGUGGGUUCUAGUAGUUGUUGAAUCUUGCUCUUCUCUGCACUGGUCUCCUGGAUUAUUCUCGAAUCCAGAUUUCACUCUGUGAUCGUGAGACCAAUAUCAAAGCAAUUCUGGUAAUGAAACUGCAGUCACCUUUGACACUCUCUUCGAGUUACCUGCCAGCCAGUCAGCUGUCUCAAGUUAUCUUCCUCCAGAUCACUUCCUUUUCAUUCCCAGGCAAGCAGUAUCUGGGAUUAACAGGAACCACUUCCUAACUGGCCACCCCGCCUCUAGUCUACCCCCCCAUUCUAGUCCUUCCUGAAAAUGACUAAGUGGAUUUUCCUAAUGUGUUUCUUUGUUGAUUAGUCUUCAGCGGCUCUCCACUCCUGACCAAAUUAAGUUGGGGCUCUCAUCACUAUGGACCAGUUUACCUUCCAACUUUCCUCCUUCCUUCCUUUAUAUACGCAACACACAGAAGCCUUACGCAGGCAGGCCUUGUGCCUUCCUGAGUCAAGCAACAGGGACCAUUUUCCCUGCUCCUGUCUCAUCUAUUAAAAUCCUAGUUAUUCUUCACAGCCUGGCUUAGGCGGGACUGGGUGUAUAACAAAGGACAGGAGCUUUUGAAUUACUGAGGCCAAGUGCUCUCACCUGAAUAUAGAGGUAAUAAUCCUCCUAUCAUGAAGUCACGGUAUAAAGCAGAUAACAUUUGUUAAUCAUCUUGGCACAGUAAUCUUUCCAUCCUACUAACGUUCGCUGAACCAGAAUACCUUAUGUGUCCCCCCACCCCCAAACACAUUCUAAAGUUCACACAAAUGAUAGUUUAUGUAAAAAUUUAUUUGACCAAAAUGUAGAAAAAGUGAUACUAUUACAUAUGAUACAGUUGCAAGAAUCUAAAUGAAAGGUGUGCGUUUUAUUUAAUUGCACAAUUUGCUAGUGUACCUUCUGGGUAGUGUGAUGCUUAAUAAAUAGGAGUGAGGGGCAGAGAAUCUGGAUAAGCUAGAAGCAGGGUGAUUUUGUCAGAAUUGUAAACUUGAGUUGGCCCCCACACUGCUGGGGAAUGUGGAAUGUUUCAGCUCUGAGAUGUUACCCCAGAAAGCAGAAAGACAACAAAGCCAAAAUGCAGCUGUGCCUACAAAAUGCUCCAUAUCCAGUUUAAUCAGGAGUUUCUUGGUCUUUCAUUAACUUGGUCCUGAAGAAGGAAUUAAAGUCCUACAUAAGUAAAUCUUCAGUUUGCUAUUCCCGGAAGCAUACAGGAGAGGAAGCGAGGCCCAUUGCUUUAUCUGUACUUUGCUGUCAGAGAGGACCCUUCUGCCCAGUAGUUGUCAGCAUUGCUCAGUUAUUGAUGGCUCGCAGUCUUUUUGAUCGGACUUCUCUGAACGAGACUGAAUUCUGCCACACUCAUUCCUGCUAAGCAGAUGGUCUCAGAUCAGAGCAGACAAGCAUGGGCCAUUAUUGGAAUAAGAGAUCUGCUCCUCAGAGAACCUCAGAAUGAAAGAAACCUGUAGAGGAACAUAGGAUCUAUCCAGAAAAUAUCUGGGUACUUAUUACGAUGAUUUCCCAAGCAUUCUCAUACUACCUGCCCAGAGGAUGUUUGUUCUGCAUGGUGGUGUGUGGGAAAGAGCCAGGAUGAUAAGGUUGAUCUAUGGUUUAUGACUUCCCACAAGGCAAGCCCUCUUCCCCCUCCUCCCUUUUUUUAUGCUCUGGAUGGAAAAUCCCUACCCAUUUUAAUGGGAUGGUCCCUGGCUACCUGUCGUGUGACCAACAGUGGCCCAGAAGGUUAUGUAUUCUGCGGCCUUUUAAGUUUACCUGUGACUAGACACUGGAGUUGGUUUUUGAAAGUAUAAGUUUGUCUAUUCUCCCAGGAACCAAACGCCCUCGGUCUCUAUAGGCGUAUGCUCAGUAUGAAAUACCCUGCCUACCUUAUGAAUAAAUGCAACUUAAAGAUAAAAAUAGAGCUGAAAAAGCUGGUGCCAUUUGAAAAAAGGAAGGAAUGAGAUUUAACGGGGUGCUCAAAGCUUCUCUGAUACAAAAUAUUUGGUCACGUACUCAUAAUUUGCUUGACAUUUCCAGCAAAGCGAAGAUUUCAAUAGCAAAAGAAACUUCUUACAAGAGAAGAGAAAGA